Non-coding RNA from Camelus ferus (Wild Bactrian camel), 74 nucleotides. Lineage: Eukaryota; Metazoa; Chordata; Mammalia; Artiodactyla; Camelidae. The record is from Rfam.
GGAAGGGUACAGCUCAGUGGUAGAGCGCGUGCUUAGCGUGCACGAGGUCCUGGGUUCAAGCCCUAGGACCUCCA